AAAGACUGGGUAACAGAGUUAAUGUCGCAUUACGGCAUGAACUGUAUAAGGACGUGGAUUGUUUUAAACGGUACAAGGGAGAAAAAUUAGUGGAGAAGGAAUUGGUGAAAAUGACGGAAACCAUACAGGAAGCCAAAGUAAGCAAAAGGAUAAACCUUGAAUAAUCUCAAAUAGGACUUUUGAGCAGAAUUAAUAAUCUCUAAAAGUCAGGAACGAUUAAACGAAUAAGUGAUUAAUACGAUAACGAGUGGUUGCUAAGGAGAUGGUAAAUAAGGAUACCAUUUUACACGAACGAAUUUACCAAAAGCUGUUCAGGAUAACUAUCCUUAGAUCUUGAUUAGAUAACGAGCACUAUAUUCCACGUUUUCUCCAAGUUUUCACCGGUUGCUUCACGCGAGAUUCAUUUUAAACUUGAAGACUCGUGUGAUUUUGACUUUAUCGUAUCGGCCGAUCGAUUCUCCGCGUUCUUGCACGUAAGGAAUGGUGCACUCUCAUAUGCAAAUGCGGGAUAAGCUCGUGUCGUUGUUCGAACAGCGGAUGUAACAAAUAUUCUUAAUGUACCUAUAAAUGUUAUUCGAAUAUCGACACGGCGAUAACGAUACGGCUUUCUCGAUCUUCGUGUUAAGAGGAUAUUCGCGUGCUCGUUGACUAAUACGAUACGAAUCAUAUUCAAUACCGGUUUAAUCGAUGUUAUGCUUGAAUAACCAUCAAUAAGUUUUAUUUUUCUAUAACGAUAUGAAUCAUUCGAUAUUUACGUAAUCGAUGACGUGGUGCAUGCAUUUUUCAUAAUUCGUAAUAUUUAGAUCUGGAAGAAAAAUGAAAUUAUUGACAAAUGACAGCGAUACAGUAAAAGAGCGUUGUUCUUUGACAAAUAUAUUUUAACAGAUGUAUUUAUGGAUAUUUAUCAUAAUUUAAUAAUAAUGAAUAUGUAUGUGUCUCGAUUUUUCAUUAUGAUGAAUGAUAUGAAUGUAUUAUGACAUAUUUAAGAGCUGUAUAUAAAAAAUUGAUCAGUUCCAUUAAAAUAGAUACAUAUUGUUAUUUAAAACUUGAUAUUAUGAAAUAUCUGGUUCAAUUAUAUAAAAUAAAAUUAUCUGAUGAUUCAAUUAUAAAAUAAAAUCAUGUGUAUUACAAGUAGAUGCUUACCAAAUCAACAUUUUACAUAUAUUAUUAAUUUAAUUAUUAUUUUUUUACAGAUCCAUACAAAAAAUUUAAGUGAAUUUUUUUAUAAUCAAAUUUCACACAUAUCUACGUACAUAUUUUAAAUACAAUCUAAAAAGCAAAAGAAUAACAUGCAACAUCGAUCGUAUACAUAAAAAAUAAUGAACAAAACAAAAAAAAAUUAUGUAAAUCUAACCAAAUAUUAAUUUCGAGUAAAGACAAUAUUCAGAAAUAUCAAUUAUAUAUCAAACAAGAUUAUAUGUAAAAUAAUAUAUAAAAAAAAAAUAAAUUUUAAAUUAAAAUAUAUAA
This is a long non-coding RNA of Apis cerana (Asiatic honeybee), 1467 nucleotides long. RefSeq lists it as uncharacterized. Lineage: Eukaryota; Metazoa; Arthropoda; Insecta; Hymenoptera; Apidae. The record is from RefSeq and is a predicted model, not a curated record.